RNAcentral lists this long non-coding RNA (433 nucleotides) under Cicer arietinum (chickpea). Its description in RNAcentral is "long non-coding RNA (CARI_LNC002839)". The record is from RNAcentral. Lineage: Eukaryota; Viridiplantae; Streptophyta; Magnoliopsida; Fabales; Fabaceae.
UUAGUUACAAUUUGGGUACCUUAAUUAGUUACAAUGUGAGUAACUAUUAUUCCUUAAUUGUUUUUCUUUAUUUUAUGAAAAAAUUUAAGGUGAUUAGUUCUUAAUAGUUGGUUAAAAAUAAAACAAACGAUGAAGAUGAAUGCCUUUGUUUCUCGUUCAAUUCAACAAACCUAAUAUAGAAAAAUGGGCUAUUUUAAAGCUCUCUAAUAAAGUAUAGCUUUAAUUGCGUUACUAACUAGCAUAUCAACUGCAUUUUUUUUUACCUCUCUUUUCCUUUGUCUACUAAAAUUAGCUAGCCAAAUUUAUUCAAAAAAAAAAAAAAAAAAAACUAGCUUAGCAAAACAAGUCCAUAUGAGAAAUACAAUACUAGCAACAAUUUAGCAAUUAAUGAAUAUUUAUUUUGUCAUGUAGUGGAAAAUAUCACUUAAAAUUC